ACGAACGCUGGCGGCGUGCCUAACACAUGCAAGUCGCACGAGAACCUUCUUCGGAAGGCGUAAAGUGGCGCACGGGUGCGUAACACGUAGGUAAUCUGCCCUUCGCGGGGGAUAACGUUCCGAAAGGAACGCUAAUACCGCAUAAGACCACGGCCUCUAUGGGGGCUGAGGUCAAAGCUGGCCUCUUCAUGAAAGCUAGCACCGAAGAAUGAGCCUGCGGCCCAUCAGCUAGUUGGCGAGGUAAUGGCUCACCAAGGCGAAGACGGGUAGCUGGUCUGAGAGGAUGAUCAGCCACACUGGCACUGAGACACGGCCCAGACUCCUACGGGAGGCAGCAGUGGGGAAUAUUG
This 350-nucleotide ribosomal RNA is filed under the name uncultured bacterium. RNAcentral describes it as "bacterial SSU rRNA". It matches the Rfam family "Bacterial small subunit ribosomal RNA", at positions 29 to 366 of the family's 1533-position model. The record is from RNAcentral.